UACGUAGGGUGCAAGCGUUAAUCGGAAUUACUGGGCGUAAAGCGUGCGCAGGCGGUUCGGAAAGAAAGAUGUGAAAUCCCAGAGCUUAACUUUGGAACUGCAUUUUUAACUACCGAGCUAGAGUGUGUCAGAGGGAGGUGGAAUUCCGCGUGUAGCAGUGAAAUGCGUAGAUAUGCGGAGGAACACCGAUGGCGAAGGCAGCCUCCUGGGAUAACACUGACGCUCAUGCACGAAAGCGUGGGGAGCAAAC
Molecule: ribosomal RNA, 250 nt
Filed under: uncultured bacterium
Lineage: Bacteria
Also listed under: 2 other names
Description: partial 16S ribosomal RNA
Rfam family: Bacterial small subunit ribosomal RNA
Source: RNAcentral